This 468-nucleotide ribosomal RNA is filed under the name uncultured bacterium. RNAcentral describes it as "partial 16S ribosomal RNA". It matches the Rfam family "Bacterial small subunit ribosomal RNA", at positions 28 to 507 of the family's 1533-position model. The record is from RNAcentral.
GACGAACGCUGGCGGCGUGCUUAACACAUGCAAGUCGAACGGAAAGGCCCUGCUUUUUUGGGGUUCUCGAGUGGCGAACGGGUGAGUAACACGUGAGUAACCUGCUCUUGACUUUGGGAUAACUUCAGGUAACUGGGGCUAAUACCGGAUAGGAGCUCCUGCUGCAUGGUGGGGGUUGGAAAGUUUCGGCGGUUGGGGAUGGACUCGCGGCUUAUCAGUUUGUUGGUGGGGUAGGGGCUUACCAAGGCUUUGACGGGUAGCCGGCCUGAGAGGGUGACCGGCCACAUUGGGACUGAGAUACGGCCCAGACUCCUACGUGAGGCAGCAGUGGGGAAUAUUGCACAAUGGGAGGAAGCCUGAUGCAGCAACGCCGCGUGCGGGAUGACGGCCUUCGGGUUGUAAACCGCUUUCGCCUGUGACGAAGCGUGAGUGACGGUAAUGGGUAAAGAAGCACCGGCUAACUACGUG